This 714-nucleotide ribosomal RNA is filed under the name Lutibacter sp. RNAcentral describes it as "bacterial SSU rRNA". It matches the Rfam family "Bacterial small subunit ribosomal RNA", at positions 28 to 733 of the family's 1533-position model. The record is from RNAcentral. Lineage: Bacteria; Pseudomonadati; Bacteroidota; Flavobacteriia; Flavobacteriales; Flavobacteriaceae.
GAUGAACGCUAGCGGCAGGCUUAACACAUGCAAGUCGAGGGGUAACAGGGAGAAGCUUGCUUUUCCGCUGACGACCGGCGCACGGGUGCGUAACGCGUAUAGAACCUACCUUUUACAGAGGAAUAGCCCAGAGAAAUUUGGAUUAAUGCCUCAUAGUAUUAUAGAAUGGCAUCAUUUUAUAAUUAAACAUUUAUGGGUAAAAGAUGGCUAUGCGUUCUAUUAGCUAGUUGGUAAGGUAACGGCUUACCAAGGCUACGAUAGAUAGGGGUCCUGAGAGGGAGAUCCCCCACACUGGUACUGAGACACGGACCAGACUCCUACGGGAGGCAGCAGUGAGGAAUAUUGGACAAUGGAGGCAACUCUGAUCCAGCCAUGCCGCGUGCAGGAAGACGGCCCUAUGGGUUGUAAACUGCUUUUAUAUAGGAAGAAACCUUUCCACGUGUGGAAAGCUGACGGUACUAUAAGAAUAAGCACCGGCUAACUCCGUGCCAGCAGCCGCGGUAAUACGGAGGGUGCAAGCGUUAUCCGGAAUCAUUGGGUUUAAAGGGUCCGUAGGCGGACUAAUAAGUCAGGGGUGAAAUCCAACAGCUUAACUGUUGAACUGCCUUUGAUACUGUUAGUCUUGAAUUAUAUGGAAGUAGAUAGAAUGUGUAGUGUAGCGGUGAAAUGCUUAGAGAUUACACAGAAUACCGAUUGCGAAGGCAGUCUACUACG